AUUGAACGCUGGCGGCGUGCCUAACACAUGCAAGUCGAGCGGUAACAGGUGUAGCAAUACAUGCUGACGAGCGGCGGACGGGUGAGUAACGCUUGGGAAUCUGCCUGUUAGUGGGGGACAACCCGGGGAAACUCGGGCUAAUACCGCAUACGCACUACGGGUGGAAAGCCGGGGACCGCAAGGCCUGGCGCUAACAGAUGAGCCCAAGUCGGAUUAGCUAGUUGGUAGGUAACGGCCACCAAGGCGACGAUCCGUAACUGGUCUGAGAGGACGACCAGUCACACCGGAACUGAGACA
Molecule: ribosomal RNA, 297 nt
Filed under: uncultured bacterium
Lineage: Bacteria
Description: partial 16S ribosomal RNA
Rfam family: Bacterial small subunit ribosomal RNA
Source: RNAcentral